GAUGAACGCUGGCGGCGUGCCUAAUACAUGCAAGUCGAGCGAACAGACGAGGAGCUUGCUCCUUUGACGUUAGCGGCGGACGGGUGAGUAACACGUAGGUAACCUACCUAUAAGACUGGGAUAACUUCGGGAAACCGGAGCUAAUACCGGAUAAUAUUUCGAACCGCAUGGUUCGAUAGUGAAAGAUGGCUUUGCUAUCACUUAUAGAUGGACCUGCGCCGUAUUAGCUAGUUGGUAAGGUAACGGCUUACCAAGGCAACGAUACGUAGCCGACCCGAGAGGGUGAUCGGCCACACUGGAACUGAGACACGGUCCAGACUCCUACGGGAGGCAGCAGUAGGGAAUCUUCCGCAAUGGGCGAAAGCCUGACGGAGCAACGCCGCGUGAGUGAUGAAGGUCUUCGGAUCGUAAAACUCUGUUAUUAGGGAAGAACAAACGUGUAAGUAACUGUGCACGUCUUGACGGUACCUAAUCAGAAAGCCACGGCUAACUACGUG
Molecule: ribosomal RNA, 497 nt
Filed under: uncultured bacterium
Lineage: Bacteria
Description: partial 16S ribosomal RNA
Rfam family: Bacterial small subunit ribosomal RNA
Source: RNAcentral